RNAcentral lists this ribosomal RNA (238 nucleotides) under uncultured bacterium. RNAcentral's name for it is "partial 16S ribosomal RNA". It matches the Rfam family "Bacterial small subunit ribosomal RNA", at positions 118 to 347 of the family's 1533-position model. The record is from RNAcentral.
UGAGCAAUCUGCCCUUCUCAUCGGAAUAAGCGUUGGAAACGACGUCUAAUGCCGAAUACGACCUCCUUUCGCAUGAUCGGAGGUGGAAAGCUCCGGCGGAGAAGGAUGAGCUCGCGGCCUAUCAGCUAGUUGGUGUGGGUAAUGGCCCACAAGGCGACGACGGGUAGCCGGCCUGGAGGAGGGUCGACCCGGCCACACGUGGGACUGAGACCACGGCCCAGACUCCGUACGGGAGCAG